AUUGAACGCUGGCGGCAUGCCUUACACAUGCAAGUCGAACGGUAACGGGCCUUCGGGUGCCGACGAGUGGCGAACGGGUGAGUAAUGCAUCGGAACGUACCUUUCAGUGGGGGAUAACGUAGCGAAAGUUACGCUAAUACCGCAUAUUCUGUGAGCAGGAAAGCAGGGGAUCGCAAGACCUUGCGCUGAUUGAGCGGCCGAUGUCAGAUUAGCUAGUUGGUGAGGUAAAGGCUCACCAAGGCGACGAUCUGUAGCGGGUCUGAGAGGAUGAUCCGCCACACUGGAACUGAGACACGGUCCAGACUCCUACGGGAGGCAGCAGUGGGGAAUUUUGGACAAUGGGGGCAACCCUGAUCCAGCCAUGCCGCGUGAGUGAAGAAGGCCUCGGGUUGUAAG
RNAcentral lists this ribosomal RNA (396 nucleotides) under uncultured bacterium. RNAcentral's name for it is "bacterial SSU rRNA". It matches the Rfam family "Bacterial small subunit ribosomal RNA", at positions 30 to 429 of the family's 1533-position model. The record is from RNAcentral.